GAUGAACGCUAGCUACAGGCUUAACACAUGCAAGUCGAGGGGCAGCAUGGUCUUAGCUUGCUAAGGCUGAUGGCGACCGGCGCACGGGUGAGUAACACGUAUCCAACCUGCCGUCUACUCUUGGCCAGCCUUCUGUAAGGAAGAUUAAUCCAGGAUGGCAUCAUGAGUUCACAUGUCCGCAUGAUUAAAGGUAUUUUCCGGUAGACGAUGGGGAUGCGUUCCAUUAGAUAGUAGGCGGGGUAACGGCCCACCUAGUCAACGAUGGAUAGGGGUUCUGAGAGGAAGGUCCCCCACAUUGGAACUGAGACACGGUCCAAACUCCUACGGGAGGCAGCAGUGAGGAAUAUUGGUCAAUGGGCGAUGGCCUGAACCAGCCAAGUAGCGUGAAGGAUGACUGCCCUAUGGGUUGUAAACUUCUUUUAUAAAGGAAUAAAGUCGGGUAUGCAUACCCGU
This 453-nucleotide ribosomal RNA is filed under the name uncultured bacterium. Its description in RNAcentral is "bacterial SSU rRNA". It matches the Rfam family "Bacterial small subunit ribosomal RNA", at positions 28 to 468 of the family's 1533-position model. The record is from RNAcentral.